Molecule: small nucleolar RNA, 137 nt
Organism: Xyrauchen texanus (razorback sucker)
Lineage: Eukaryota; Metazoa; Chordata; Actinopteri; Cypriniformes; Catostomidae
Product: small nucleolar RNA SNORA22
Exons: 1
Source: RefSeq, a predicted model, not a curated record
ACGCACAGUGAACACCCAUGGGUGCUUGUGUAGCUCUCCUUGGCCUAUUUAACUGUGCUAUAGUAAUGUGUGGUCUGUUACCUCUGCAUUAGAAGAGUUCUCUUCCUUCUACAUGUAUUCAUCGGACUAGCACAUUC